RNAcentral lists this ribosomal RNA (621 nucleotides) under Stenotrophomonas sp. NOE7. RNAcentral's name for it is "bacterial SSU rRNA". It matches the Rfam family "Bacterial small subunit ribosomal RNA", at positions 50 to 660 of the family's 1533-position model. The record is from RNAcentral. Lineage: Bacteria; Pseudomonadati; Pseudomonadota; Gammaproteobacteria; Lysobacterales; Lysobacteraceae.
AACACAUGCAAGUCGAACGGCAGCACAGGAGAGCUUGCUCUCUGGGUGGCGAGUGGCGGACGGGUGAGGAAUACAUCGGAAUCUACUCUGUCGUGGGGGAUAACGUAGGGAAACUUACGCUAAUACCGCAUACGACCUACGGGUGAAAGCAGGGGAUCUUCGGACCUUGCGCGAUUGAAUGAGCCGAUGUCGGAUUAGCUAGUUGGCGGGGUAAAGGCCCACCAAGGCGACGAUCCGUAGCUGGUCUGAGAGGAUGAUCAGCCACACUGGAACUGAGACACGGUCCAGACUCCUACGGGAGGCAGCAGUGGGGAAUAUUGGACAAUGGGCGCAAGCCUGAUCCAGCCAUACCGCGUGGGUGAAGAAGGCCUUCGGGUUGUAAAGCCCUUUUGUUGGGAAAGAAAUCCAGCUGGCUAAUACCCGGUUGGGAUGACGGUACCCAAAGAAUAAGCACCGGCUAACUUCGUGCCAGCAGCCGCGGUAAUACGAAGGGUGCAAGCGUUACUCGGAAUUACUGGGCGUAAAGCGUGCGUAGGUGGUCGUUUAAGUCCGUUGUGAAAGCCCUGGGCUCAACCUGGGAACUGCAGUGGAUACUGGGCGACUAGAGUGUGGUACAGGGUA